Molecule: long non-coding RNA, 552 nt
Organism: Prosopis cineraria
Lineage: Eukaryota; Viridiplantae; Streptophyta; Magnoliopsida; Fabales; Fabaceae
Exons: 2
Source: RefSeq, a predicted model, not a curated record
CCCAGCUUGCUUCCAUCGAUUCCGAGGAAGUUGUUCACGCUGUCAAUAGCAGUUCAUCUUCUUCAUUCCUGCCUCUCCCUCAUUCUUCAAUCUUCUUCUGCAAAACCUAGAAAAGGGUUUAAUCAAAAUCAAAAUCUCAUGCCCUUGAGUUUGUUGAUGACCUUGCACGAUGAAAGAGCUUGGGCACAGCCUUGAGUUUAGGAGGGGAAUGGAAUUCGAAGCCUUGAUUUUUGCUUGUAGAGCGGCAUGGGCGUGGAGGGGAAGAAAGAGCUCGAGCACAAUCUGGCUUCGCCGACUUGGGUUUGUCGAAUUCGAAGCCUUGAUUUUCUAUUCCGAGAUCCAUGUCGUCUUCAAGACAUGCAGAAGAACUCAGAUUUGAUGGAGAAGAAGACUGAAGAAAAAUGGUGAAUCUGGGUCUAAGACUUGGGUCUAAAUAUGGAUUUUUCAGAUUUUGCAGAAGAAGAUGGAAGAAGAACGGUCGAUAACAGUGGUGGGGGGAUGAUGUGGCAAUGGUUAAUAUAUAUAUAUAUAUAUAUAUAUAUCAUACGUAGA